Helianthus annuus (common sunflower) is the source of this 1776-nucleotide long non-coding RNA. RefSeq lists it as uncharacterized. The record is from RefSeq and is a predicted model, not a curated record. The transcript has 3 exons. Lineage: Eukaryota; Viridiplantae; Streptophyta; Magnoliopsida; Asterales; Asteraceae.
UAAAAGAGUACACAGUCAGAUUGAGACACAGAAGUUGUUUUAGAGAGAGAGAGGGGCCGAUGAUGACGAAGGUUCCGCCGGUGUCCCAACCUGGCCGUCUGUGCCCUGUCGUUACGGCCGUCGGCCAGUGGCGAUGGUCUCUGUUUCAGAAGACGAUGGAAUGCCGACGAACCCAGAUCCGCCGCCCGCCGCCGACUUUGUCCUGACGUUCCGGUCGUCGGUCAGUGAUGAAAGUCUCUGGUUCAGACGACGAUGGAUGGUGGCGAUGGUGGCCGAUCUGUGUAUCAUUAUCACGUUUCCUCGACUUGGUUCAGACUUUCUUUUCUUUUCUUUGGUACACGUGAUUUAAGAACCAACAGACAGAGGUAUGUUCAUUGCCUCCUCCAAACUCUUCACGUCAGUUUUUUUGGCCAAUUUAGGGUUUCGUGCCAAUGAUUAAAUUACGAAUUGAGGUAUGUUGAUUAUUUAAACAAUGAUUUAGAGUUUUUCUUGGUUGUUUCGUAAUUACAGAGAUUGAGAUUGUUAUAAAGCUUGGCAAUGCAUUAUUGGCUGCCUUUUUUACCCCAUUCAUCUGAUCCUGGUAUUGCAUAUAUAGAUUUGCAUUUGGUACUUUUACGUGAUUUGGCUUUUGGUUUUAGUGGUUGGUGUGUUGUGUGGCACUAUUGGCUUUUUUUUUUAUUGUGGCUAUUGGCUUCUUGGUUUGAUUUUGUUGUUCACUAUGGAUGCUAAACCCUAAUUUAUCUGGGGUUUUAAGGCAGAGAUGAAAAGUGUACACUCAUCUGAGCGUCGGUUAUUUUUUAGCUUGAAUGAUUGAUACAUAACACUUUGGGUUCUCGGGCUGUGAUGAGUUCAUAAAUAUGAACAUAAAUUGAAUAUCGAUGUUGCCUUGGCGUGGCAGGGUUGUUGGAUGGUAGGUGUUCACCUGCAACCCCCUGCAGCCAUGUUGUAUUCAUUGAUUCUGGAAUUCUGAGCACCGUUUGCCUAUUCUUUUAACCAACUUGAUCACUUUCGUUGUCGGUUUCGUGUCUAUGAUGACAAGAUCUGAGCCUCUUUAGUUAAUCUAUACAUUAAAGAACAAACAAAUGGAAAUCAAAAGUUUGUUGAUUAUGGUGGCGAUAGCGCUGGUGGUGAUUCGAAGAGGGCUGCGAUAAUGGGGAAAAAGUGAAAGAUGCGUUCAGUAGAGAAUGGAGAAGUGCAGACUGCACGUUAAUUUGUUUUGAUGAUGAUGUAUGGGAGGUUUGGGUAAAGAUUUUGGUUCGAGUAUUCCUUUGAUAAAGCAUCAUUGGAUGAUUAUGCUUCUUCAAGUUAAAUUACAGCUCCAGCACCACCGACUCUCAUAUCCUUUCAAGAGUGAAAGGGAAGAAAGCUUCUGCUGGAGAUGCGUGAUGAAGAUUGAAGGGUAUCUACAUGCGUCAGGGCUACAAUAGGCAGUCAGCUCUCUUUUUUGAACCGCUUUUGUGUCUUUUUCGACUAGCGCAUCGGUUGGGAUAACAACAAAAUCAGAAGAAAACUGAGGCAAUAUAAAUUCUCUUAAAUAUUGUUUCACCCGCGAAUGUGAACUGUUAAGCAUCCUUAAUAUUUUCAGCAUUUCGUAGUUAGCCUUACAACAUCUGACACAAUAUCAUGUGUUCAAUUCUUGAGGAAUUGAAUUGGAUUUCCAGUUUAUUACGCUUAGGAAAUUGCGGAAAUGCUCAAUACAUAAUUCAGUUAGAUCUUUUAACGUAGUCAAUGUGAAUACUUCUGGUGGAAUUGGAACAAAGCAAUUAUUAUUUAUGA